UACGGAGGGUGCAAGCGUUAUCCGGAUUCACUGGGUUUAAAGGGUGCGUCGGUGGGCAGGUAAGUCAGUGGUGAAAUCUCCGGGCUUAACCCGGAAACUGCCAUUGAUACUAUCUGUCUUGAAUACCGUGGAGGUGAGCGGAAUAUGUCAUGUAGCGGUGAAAUGCUUAGAUAUGACAUAGAACACCAAUUGCGAAGGCAGCUUACUACCCGAAUAUUGACACUGAGGCACGAAAGCGUGGGGAUCAAACAGG
RNAcentral lists this ribosomal RNA (253 nucleotides) under uncultured bacterium. RNAcentral's name for it is "partial 16S ribosomal RNA". It matches the Rfam family "Bacterial small subunit ribosomal RNA", at positions 524 to 776 of the family's 1533-position model. The record is from RNAcentral.